AACGAACGCUGGCGGCAGGCUUAACACAUGCAAGUCGAGCGCCACCUUCGGGUGGAGCGGCGGACGGGUGAGUAACGCGUGGGAACGUGCCCUUCUCUAAGGAAUAGCCACUGGAAACGGUGAGUAAUACCUUAUACGCCCUUCGGGGGAAAGAUUUAUCGGAGAAGGAUCAGCCCGCGUUAGAUUAGGUAGUUGGUGGGGUAACGGCCUACCAAGCCGACGAUCUAUAGCUGGUUUGAGAGGAUGAUCAGCAACACUGGGACUGAGACACGGCCCAGACUCCUACGGGAGGCAGCAGUAAGGAAUCUUGGACAAUGGGGGAAACCCUGAUCCAGCCAUGCCGCGUGUGUGACGAAGGCCCUAGGGUCGUAAAGCACUUUCGCCAGGGAUGAUAAUGACAGUACCUGGUAAAGAACCCCGG
Molecule: ribosomal RNA, 421 nt
Filed under: uncultured bacterium
Lineage: Bacteria
Description: bacterial SSU rRNA
Rfam family: Bacterial small subunit ribosomal RNA
Source: RNAcentral